This 567-nucleotide ribosomal RNA is filed under the name uncultured bacterium. Its description in RNAcentral is "partial 16S ribosomal RNA". It matches the Rfam family "Bacterial small subunit ribosomal RNA", at positions 355 to 911 of the family's 1533-position model. The record is from RNAcentral.
UGGGGAAUUUUGGACAAUGGGCGAAAGCCUGAUCCAGCAAUGCCGCGUGUGUGAAGAAGGCCUUCGGGUUGUAAAGCACUUUUGUCCGGAAAGAAAUCCUUGGCUCUAAUACAGUCGGGGGAUGACGGUACCGGAAGAAUAAGCACCGGCUAACUACGUGCCAGCAGCCGCGGUAAUACGUAGGGUGCAAGCGUUAAUCGGAAUUACUGGGCGUAAAGCGUGCGCGGGCGGUUUGCUAAGACCGAUGUGAAAUCCCCGGGCUCAACCUGGGAACUGCAUUGGUGACUGGCAGGCUAGAGUAUGGCAGAGGGGGGUAGAAUUCCACGUGUAGCAGUGAAAUGCGUAGAGAUGUGGAGGAAUACCGAUGGCGAAGGCAGCCCCCUGGGCCAAUACUGACGCUCAUGCACGAAAAGCGUGGGGGAGCAAAACAGGAUUAGAUACCCCUGGUAGUCCACGCCCUAAANGAUGUCAACUAGUUGUUGGGGAUUCAUUUCCUUAGUAACGUAGCUAACGCGUGAAGUUGACCGCCUGGGGAGUACGGUCGCAAGAUUAAAACUCAAAUGAAUU